UCGCUGACUUGGCUGUGCUCCGUGGGCACUGCUUUUCUGCCAGGUCCUGGAGUUGUCACCCCUUUCGCCUCUCAGCCUCCCGCGGGCGCAAUGGAGGAGAAGGAUCAGAAAGCAUGGGUGCUGCUGGCCUUUCUGUGGCCUCCAGUCGCCUGGCUAUGACUUUUGAUGCUGUUAUUGAUGUGCUUCCUUGGCUUCAGCAGCUAUUUUUGCUAUAAUAAUCCUGCUGCCCUUCAGACUCAGGAUAAACAGAAUAGGCAGGUGAACACCAUGAAAUUCAUGCUGCUAUAUGCCUGGUAUUCUUGGCCCAAUGUAGUUUUGUGUUUCUUUGGUGGCUUUUUAAAAGACCGAGUAUUUGGAAUCUGAUGGGGCACAAUUACUUUUAGCUGUUCUAUUUGCAUUGGACAGGUUGUUUUGUUCUGGGUGGAAUAUUUAAUGUUUUUUGGCUGAUGGAAUUUGAAAGAUUUGUGUUUGGGAUUGGUGGGGAGUGCUUAGCAGUUGCCCAGGAUACAUAUGCUGUGAGCUAGUUUAAAGAAAAAGAAUUAAACCUGUGUCUGGACUCCAACAAUUUAGCAUGGCUAGAAUUGGAAGUACAGUAAACAUGAACUUCAUGAGUUGGCUGUAUUCUAAGAUUGAAGCUUUGUGGGGUUCUGCUGGUCACACAACCCCUGCGGUCACACUUAAGAUUGGGGUAUAAAAUGUAUUCUUUCACUAAUCUGCGCCUUCCUUGGCUCUUGCUUACUUAGAUCUGAGAGCAGAAAGAAUCCUUCAUAAAGAACAAAAAAACAGGGUAAGUUUUUAAAUUAACUGAUGUGAAAGAUUUCUCCUUACCCCUGUGGCCCAUAUUUAUCAUCUGUGUCUGCUAUUGUGUUGCCAUGUUCCCUUUUAUUGGACCUGGGAAAGUUUUCUUUACAGAGAAAUUUGGAUUUUCUUUCCAGGCAGCAAGUGCAAUGAACAGUGUUGUAUAUGUCUUAUCAGCUCCCACGCCUGGUAUUUGGGCUCCCCGUGGAUGACACGGGGAAGAACGGCAUCUGGGUUCUGCGUGUGGUCGCAGCCACUCUUGUGUCCCACAUGAUGCUGGCCUUUAUGAUGUAGAGCCCUUGGGUUGCUAUGUGUCUUCUGGGAAUCUCCUAUUCAUUGCUUGCCUGUGCAUUAUGGCUAAUAGUGGCAUCUGAAGUUCCUGACCAUCAGCUGGGAACUGCAUAUGGCUUCAUGCAGUCCAUUCAGAAACUUGGGUGGGCCAUCAUUUCCAUCACUGCUGGGACGGAUGAUACUGAAUAUUGGGGGAUAUUUGUUUUUAGAAGUUUUCUUCAUUGCCUGUGUUUCUAUGUCACUUUUAUCUGUGGUCUUACUCUAUUUUGUGAAUUAUGCCCAGGGUGAGAACCUAAAUUAUUCCACAAGACAAAGGGAAGAAAUAAAAUUUUCCCAUACUUAGUAAGUUUAAAUGACUGUGUCAUGAGAAUGGGCUUUGCACAUCACUGGUUUGAAAAUCUCCAUUUUUAAAAAUUUAGAGUUUAGUCAUGAGAAAAAAAAAUAAUGUAAUGGCAAAUUAUAUUUAUAUCCAAAUACACCUAUUUCGAAGUGUAUUUGUGAGAACUAUUUUAGCCUGUGUCUUCUGUAUUGUGUGUUGCUGAAGAAUUCUACAAAAGGCCAAUCAACAAUGAAAGGUUUAGAAAACUGCUCUGGAACAUCCAGGUGAACUUCAGAAAAGAACAGUGAGUGAAA
RNA transcript from Nomascus leucogenys (northern white-cheeked gibbon), 1722 nucleotides. It is a transcript of the gene named major facilitator superfamily domain-containing protein 1 pseudogene, with no coding region annotated. The transcript has a single exon. NCBI's taxonomy places the organism in Eukaryota, Metazoa, Chordata, Mammalia, Primates, Hylobatidae. The record is from RefSeq and is a predicted model, not a curated record.